GGAAUAUUGCACAAUGGGCGCAAGCCUGAUGCAGCCAUGCCGCGUGUAUGAAGAAGGCCUUCGGGUUGUAAAGUACUUUCAGUGGGGAGGAAGGCGAUGAAGUUAAUAACUUCGUCGAUUGACGUUACCCGCAGAAGAAGCACCGGCUAACUCCGUGCCAGCAGCCGCGGUAAUACGGAGGGUGCAAGCGUUAAUCGGAAUUACUGGGCGUAAAGCGCACGCAGGCGGUCUGUCAAGUCGGAUGUGAAAUCCCCGGGCUCAACCUGGGAACUGCAUUCGAAACUGGCAGGCUAGAGUCUUGUAGAGGGGGGUAGAAUUCCAGGUGUAGCGGUGAAAUGCGUAGAGAUCUGGAGGAAUACCGGUGGCGAAGGCGGCCCCCUGGACAAAGACUGACGCUCAGGUGCGAAAGCGUGGGGAGCAAACAGGAUUAGAUACCCCGG
This 440-nucleotide ribosomal RNA is filed under the name uncultured Erwinia sp. RNAcentral's name for it is "bacterial SSU rRNA". It matches the Rfam family "Bacterial small subunit ribosomal RNA", at positions 358 to 790 of the family's 1533-position model. Lineage: Bacteria; Pseudomonadati; Pseudomonadota; Gammaproteobacteria; Enterobacterales; Erwiniaceae. The record is from RNAcentral.